This 497-nucleotide ribosomal RNA is filed under the name uncultured bacterium. RNAcentral's name for it is "partial 16S ribosomal RNA". It matches the Rfam family "Bacterial small subunit ribosomal RNA", at positions 28 to 508 of the family's 1533-position model. The record is from RNAcentral.
GAUGAACGCUGGCGGCGUGCCUAAUACAUGCAAGUCGAGCGAACAGACGAGGAGCUUGCUCCUCUGACGUUAGCGGCGGACGGGUGAGUAACACGUGGAUAACCUACCUAUAAGACUGGGAUAACUUCGGGAAACCGGAGCUAAUACCGGAUAAUAUAUUGAACCGCAUGGUUCAAUAGUGAAAGACGGUUUUGCUGUCACUUAUAGAUGGAUCCGCGCCGCAUUAGCUAGUUGGUAAGGUAACGGCUUACCAAGGCAACGAUGCGUAGCCGACCUGAGAGGCGGAUGGGCAACCCGGAAAUGAGACCACGGACCAACCUCCAAGGGAGGAAACAAAGGGGAAACCUCCGGAAAGGGGGAAAAGCGAAAGGGAGCAACGCGGGUGGAGUAAUAAGGGUUUUGGAACCUAAAACUUUUUUAUUAGGAAAAAAAAAAAUUGUAAAGUAACUGGGCGCUUUUGGCGGGACCCUAAUAAGAAGACCCGGACAAACACCGGC